GGAGAGGUGACCGAGAGGCCGAUGGUGCCCGCCUGCUAAGCGAGUGAUGGGGUUAAACUCAUCCGAGAGUUCGAAUCUCUCCCUCUCCGCCA
RNAcentral lists this transfer RNA (92 nucleotides) under Desulfobulbaceae bacterium. RNAcentral's name for it is "tRNA-Ser". It matches the Rfam family "tRNA". From Rfam's summary of the family: Transfer RNA (tRNA) molecules are approximately 80 nucleotides in length. The record is from RNAcentral. Lineage: Bacteria; Pseudomonadati; Thermodesulfobacteriota; Desulfobulbia; Desulfobulbales; Desulfobulbaceae.